GGCUGGUCCAAAGGUGGUAAGUUAUCUCAGUUGAUCGUUCAGUCAGUUACAUACCCAACUCCUUCUUCUACUCUUUCUCCCCUCCUCAUGACUGUACUUGACUAGUCUUAA
Molecule: Y RNA, 111 nt
Organism: Callithrix jacchus (white-tufted-ear marmoset)
Lineage: Eukaryota; Metazoa; Chordata; Mammalia; Primates; Cebidae
Rfam family: Y RNA
About the family: Y RNAs are components of the Ro ribonucleoprotein particle (Ro RNP), in association with Ro60 and La proteins. The Y RNAs and Ro60 and La proteins are well conserved, but the function of the Ro RNP is not known.
Source: Ensembl